CAUGCCGGCUGAGAACGAAGACCACAAGGGGACGACAACUCAACAACAAGUCGAAGGCGAGACUUCGGGAUGCUGGAUCACUGACUAUUCCGGAUGAUGUCUGAUUUUGUUGGCGAUAUCCGGUCCACACCAUGAGACUGAUGUCUGAGGAGCACCAGGACGCCGUUGAUCAUCUCUCAGGAUUUCGAGGCCAGAAUUGCAGAAGAUGGACGUCUUACCCUUGAUGACUCUGGUCACCUUGGUUAAACCGGGCUCCCCAAUCACCCUGGUUACCUUGGUAACUGAGGGCUCCGUCUCGACGACGCCGGCUCCCUCGGUGAUCACGGGCUCGCCCUGCACCACCACCCGGGUGACCGUCGGUUCUGUUUCGAUCACCUGUAUUACCUUGGUGAAGGUUGGCUCGCCCUCAACCACCUUAGUGAUCGACGGUUGUUCUUCGAUGAUCCGGAUCAUUUGGGGUUGCUCGGGGACUGCGGGGGAGUAAGUGGUGGGAUCAAUACCAUCAAAGGAACAUUUACCUUCUUCAGAAGCCACUUUAUUAGUGUUGACUAACUCUACUGACCAUGUCCUUUUUUUUUUUUUUUUUUUUUUUUUUGUCCUUUUAGGGUCACUAUACCGCCCAAAACCAAUCUAAUCUUAGGGUGUUGAGACACUGUCUGAGUUUUAGUUCAGGCUUUUCAGCAGGUAGUGGUUUCAAAAUAGAGUUUCAAUCCUGGGUAAGUGUUUCAGACAAGGAUUAGUCUUUUAAAUUCGGGUUUCAAGACAGGGUUAGUGUUUCAAAUUAGGAUUUUUAAUCCAGGGUUAUCGUUUCAAACUAGGGCUUCGUUACAGAAUUUGUGUUUCAAAGUAGCGUUUCAAAUCAGGGUAAGGGUUUCACGUGGGAUUUCAAGAAAUUGUUCCAAAUUUGGGUUUCAAGCCAUGGUUCGUGUUCCAAACUUGAGUUUCGAUUCACAGAUAAGGUUUCAAUUUAGGGUUUCAAGCAGGAACAGAGUUCCAAGUCAGGGUUUGGAUGCCAAAUUGCGCUUUCAAACAAGGGUUCCCACACGACUAUCUUUUUACACACGAGGACAUUGAGACGAUUUUUACAUAAUGACCACGACAACUUGUUGCCUGAUAUCUCCUGUCUCCUAUCUCCUGUAACUAUCUCCUACUUUAUCUCUUCUACGUUACUCAAUACACAGAGGCAUGCAUUUAUCUGACAGGAAGUUCACUACAGGACUGACAGCCUAAUGAGCUCAUUACUAAAUGCCAGGAUUUGAUAUGCCGACAGCUCCCGAUGGAAUUUAAGAGCGGAUGAUAACAGGAAGCAUGAACGUAAUCAGGGUCUUGAAGCUCGGUAGAUAAGAGGAUUCCGUCAAUGAAUACUAACAAAAAUUCCACUUAGGAUCUUCCUAGAUCACAACACAAAUCCAAUAAGAGGCCGUUAAGGAAAAAUGCUAAGACCUGAAUGUCACUUUUGGGUGUACACAUAUUAACAACGAGAGACCCGACCAGGACUGGAAAAAUGUCAGUUCCGUCAAACACUGCCUUUUUCUCCCACAUCAAACUCAUCCAUUGAUCCCCUUAAAGACCUUCACCACAAACCGAUGGAUCCAAGGAUGCUUUCACCUUAAAUUGUUAAACACAAUCACUUAUUCACCUCAUACAGCUCCAUUUAAAUUCUUUCAUCCCAAAUCUAUGGAUCAGAGCACUCGCAAACUGGUCCAUCCAAGCACUUCUAUACACGAAACAGAGCCCUCCGAGCGCUUUCUCGGCACAAACAGAUCCAUCCAAGCUCUCAUUCGUCACAACCAGAUGGAUCCGAGCACUCCUUCACCCCAAAUAGCUCAAUCCAAGAACUCGGUUACCAUGCACACAGCCAUACAAGCACUCAUUUAUUACAAACAGAUACCUAAGCCCUUCACCUCAAACUGAUGCAUCCGUGCACUCCUUCACCCCAAAUAGAUCAACCCAAGAACUCAUUUACCACACUGAUCCAUACAAGCGCUCGGUUAUCACGAACAGAUCCAUCUCAGCCCACCCUUACCUCAAACCAAUCCAUCUCACCACUCAUUCACCACAAACAGAUGCAUCCAAGCACUCAAUCUGACCUUACCUUUCUCGGUGUACUCCGUCGUCGUGAUGGUCCUUCCUACGGACAAACAGUUAGCUUUAGCUUGAGCAUAUUUGAUACAUAAAGCUCAGGCUCAGGUAAGGAAAGAGACUUACUGACAAAAGUGAGCGGGAUCUCGGCGUAAGAGAAUCCUGACACGAACUGUAGAUCACAAAAACCAGUACAAGGGUCACAAAGAGUCCCUGAACCAAUGUCAAUAGACCAUUUCACCAUGUCACGCAUACUUCCAGGUGGUAAAAGACAGCUUUCUCUGAUGGCACCACUAGUAAACAACCCAACCAAACAAUGUCUACAAACCUUCGAGAAAAUAAUUUCCCCAAACCUAAUGAUGGAGGUUUGGUUCCCAGUGUGUCCCUUUAGAAGGAGCUACUACACCACCAGGCAGUCUUGCGAUCUUCUGUGUACAACUAUUUAUGAUAUCCACUCAAUUUGUCCCCUAUAAUUUAGAUUUUUUUUUUAAGAAACCUGAAAAAAACCUAAAGCAUUUGGGAUAUAUAAAGUAAGUUUUUGUCAUUGUUUCAGUUCAGUUCAGCAGAAGUCACUCAUUGUUCUGCCACCCGGAAGUAUCCUGGCGCUUCUUUUUUGCAAACAUUAUGAAAUGGUCUUACUCUGCACAUGUGUUUUCUCCUACCUGGAUCUUGAUGUACUUGAUGAUCUUCCUGAGAAGGAGCAGCAGGUCCUGGCGGCCCACAGGAAGAUCUGCAAGGGAACGUCAGAGAACGUCAGAUUGGCACACCAACAAAACACAAGGCCAUUAUUUUUGAGCAGAGUGCCAACCUGCUGGAUAGAGAAGGUUGUUCACUACAUGGAUUACGCCAUUGGUGGCCAUCAGGUCACUGUCAGGUACAUUGACGGAGUUGACGUGAACGGAGUUGUUGACCUGGAUAAAUACACAGGAAGACUCUCAGGUACCAUACAGUGGCUAUGACAAUGAUCGGGAUUACAUCAGAGCAACCGUAAACCCCCGAUUCUAUAUCCUAAACCCCUACACUAACCUCAAACCCUUCCCCUGAAACCUGACCGUAACCUCAAUCCUAAACCACAACCCCCUAAUUCCCUAACCCUAAAAACCUGAACCCCUAACAUGAACACUAACCUUCACCCAUAGCCACAACUGUCGUCUCUUCUCUCAACAAAGCAAAUCCCACAGCACGUUCUGGUUAAUUCUCCAGCCUGCACUGAAGUCGUUUGAAGUUUGGGUUUAAAAUAUAUCUUUUGUGACACCAGUCCUAAAACCUUUCUGACGCAGCUCGGAAGCCAACAAUUUGUGGAUAUGGUGGAUAUCAGUGAAAGGACAGUCCAUGAAUGACAAUGAUGUGUUUUAAAAGCACUGCCCACUAAGAAUGUCAUUCAAAUCUUCUCUUCCCUCACGGUGUCCGUUACCAUAUUUGGACAGCAUGAGAAGUUACUUCCUGGUAGUAACUUUGAACUUUGAGAGUUGAUAAGUGAAAGCGAGCCCAUCUGCCUGAUGACGGGACUUCCUGCAAUCAGGAGGCCCGGCUGAGUCACUCGGGGAUCCGUUUCCCCUCCUCCACGCCACUUUGUGUCUGACGCUUCCAGAGCCCACGUUAAAUGUCAUCAGAUGCUGUAGACCGGUGGGUUGAGAGGGAGCUCGGGUGUCGCAAGAGAGGCGCACUUGAUGGAAAUGACAGUGGCCAGCUCCUUAUUAUGUCUGGACCGCCUCCAGAGAUUAUAUCUGAGCUGGGCUGGUGCUCAAAACAAACAAAACCAAAAAAAAAAAACAGACCAGGCCAGGUCAUUCAUAGAUGAAAAAGAUUUCGUUUGGUUUUUCCUAAAUAAAAGUUUUUAUCAGGAAUGUAACUCGAA
This is a long non-coding RNA of Phycodurus eques (leafy seadragon), 3940 nucleotides long. RefSeq lists it as uncharacterized. NCBI's taxonomy places the organism in Eukaryota, Metazoa, Chordata, Actinopteri, Syngnathiformes, Syngnathidae. The record is from RefSeq and is a predicted model, not a curated record. The transcript is spliced from 3 exons.